RNAcentral lists this ribosomal RNA (345 nucleotides) under uncultured Bacteroidota bacterium. RNAcentral's name for it is "bacterial SSU rRNA". It matches the Rfam family "Bacterial small subunit ribosomal RNA", at positions 9 to 350 of the family's 1533-position model. The record is from RNAcentral. Lineage: Bacteria; Pseudomonadati; Bacteroidota.
GAGUUUGAUCUUGGCUCAGGAUGAACGCUAGCGGCAGGCCUAAUACAUGCAAGUCGAACGGUAAAUAUUUAGCAAUAAAUAAUGAGAGUGACGUACGGGUGCGUAACACGUAUGCAACCUACCCGUUUACAGGAGUAUAGCUCGGGGAAACUCGAAUUAACCCUCCAUAAUAUAUUUGGAUGGCAAUCAUUCGAAUAUUAAAUCGCAAGAGGUAAAGGAUGGGCAUGCGUCUGAUUAGUUAGUUGGCGGGGUAAUGGGCCCACCAAGACGAUGAUCAGUAGGGGAACUGAGAGGUUGAUCCCCCACACUGGCACUGAGAUACGGGCCAGACUCCUACGGGAGGCA